GGGAUUGUGGCUCAGUGGUAGAGUGCUUGCCUAGCAUGCAUGAAGCCCUGUGCUCAAUUCCU
Molecule: transfer RNA, 62 nt
Filed under: Dipodomys ordii (Ord's kangaroo rat)
Lineage: Eukaryota; Metazoa; Chordata; Mammalia; Rodentia; Heteromyidae
Rfam family: tRNA
About the family: Transfer RNA (tRNA) molecules are approximately 80 nucleotides in length. Their secondary structure includes four short double-helical elements and three loops (D, anti-codon, and T loops).
Source: Rfam by way of RNAcentral